This 449-nucleotide ribosomal RNA is filed under the name uncultured bacterium. RNAcentral's name for it is "partial 16S ribosomal RNA". It matches the Rfam family "Bacterial small subunit ribosomal RNA", at positions 354 to 795 of the family's 1533-position model. The record is from RNAcentral.
GUGGGGAAUAUUGGACAAUGGGCGAAAGCCUGAUCCAGCCAUGCCGCGUGUGUGAAGAAGGUCUUCGGAUUGUAAAGCACUUUAAGUUGGGAGGAAGGGCAGUAAGUUAAUACCUUGCUGUUUUGACGUUACCGACAGAAUAAGCACCGGCUAACUUCGUGCCAGCAGCCGCGGUAAUACGAAGGGUGCAAGCGUUAAUCGGAAUUACUGGGCGUAAAGCGCGCGUAGGUGGUUUUGUAAGUUGGAGGUGAAAUCCCCGGGCUCAACCUGGGAACUGCCUCCAAAACUGCAUGACUAGAGUACGGUAGAGGGUAGUGGAAUUUCCUGUGUAGCAGUGAAAUGCGUAGAUAUAGGAAGGAACACCAGUGGCGAAGGCGACUACCUGGACUGAUACUGACACUGAGGUGCGAAAGCGUGGGGAGCAAACAGGAUUAGAAACCCGUGUAUCC